AGAGUUUGAUCCUGGCUCAGAUUGAACGCUGGCGGCAUGCCUUACACAUGCAAGUCGAACGGCAGCACGGGAGCAAUCCUGGUGGCGAGUGGCGAACGGGUGAGUAAUAUAUCGGAACGUGCCCAGUCGUGGGGGAUAACGUAGCGAAAGCUACGCUAAUACCGCAUACGAUCUAUGGAUGAAAGCGGGGGAUCGCAAGACCUCGCGCGAUUGGAGCGGCCGAUAUCAGAUUAGGUAGUUGGUGAGGUAAAGGCUCACCAAGCCGACGAUCUGUAGCUG
Molecule: ribosomal RNA, 279 nt
Filed under: uncultured Curvibacter sp.
Lineage: Bacteria; Pseudomonadati; Pseudomonadota; Betaproteobacteria; Burkholderiales; Comamonadaceae
Description: partial 16S ribosomal RNA
Rfam family: Bacterial small subunit ribosomal RNA
Source: RNAcentral